RNAcentral lists this ribosomal RNA (504 nucleotides) under Beauveria bassiana. RNAcentral's name for it is "eukaryotic LSU rRNA". The stretch from base 139 to 292 matches the Rfam family "5.8S ribosomal RNA". Lineage: Eukaryota; Fungi; Ascomycota; Sordariomycetes; Hypocreales; Cordycipitaceae. The record is from RNAcentral.
UUCUGUGACCUACCUAUCGUUGCUUCGGCGGACUCGCCCCAGCCCGGACGCGGACUGGACCAGCGGCCCGCCGGGGACCUCAAACUCUUGUAUUCCAGCAUCUUCUGAAUACGCCGCAAGGCAAAACAAAUGAAUCAAAACUUUCAACAACGGAUCUCUUGGCUCUGGCAUCGAUGAAGAACGCAGCGAAACGCGAUAAGUAAUGUGAAUUGCAGAAUCCAGUGAAUCAUCGAAUCUUUGAACGCACAUUGCGCCCGCCAGCAUUCUGGCGGGCAUGCCUGUUCGAGCGUCAUUUCAACCCUCGACCUCCCCUUGGGGGGGUCGGCGUUGGGGACCGGCAGCACACCGCCGGCCCUGAAAUGGAGUGGCGGCCCGUCCGCGGCGACCUCUGCGCAGUAAUACAGCUCGCACCGGAACCCCGACGCGGCCACGCCGUAAAACACCCAACUUCUGAACGUUGACCUCGAAUCAGGUAGGACUACCCGCUGAACUUAAGCAUAUCAA